Coregonus clupeaformis (lake whitefish) is the source of this 596-nucleotide long non-coding RNA. RefSeq lists it as uncharacterized. The transcript has 3 exons. The record is from RefSeq and is a predicted model, not a curated record. Lineage: Eukaryota; Metazoa; Chordata; Actinopteri; Salmoniformes; Salmonidae.
GCUUGCUAGCUGGGUUAAGGUUAGGGUAUAGGCGGCAGGCCUCUAGGGGCCAUUAGAUGCUUGCUAGCUGGGUUAAGGUUAGGGUAUAGGCGGCAGGCCUCUAGGGGCCAUUAGAUGCUUGCUAGCUGGGUUAAGGUUAGGGUAUAGGCGGCAGGCCUCUAGGGGCCGUUAGAUGCUUGCUAGCUGGGUUAAGGUUAGGCUAUAGGGGGCAGGCCUCUAGGGGCCAUUAGAUGCUUGCUAGCUGGGUUAAGGUUAGGCUAUAAGGGGCCAUUAGAUGCUUGCUAGCUGGGUUAAGGUUAGGGUAUAGGCGGCAGGCCUCUAGGGGCCAUUAGAUGCUUGCUAGCUGGGUUAAGGUUAGGGUAUAGGCGGCAGGCCUCUAGGGGCCAUUAGAUGCUUGCUAGCUGGGUUAAGGUUAGGGUAUAGGCGGCAGGCCUCUAGGGGCCAUUAGAUGCUUGCUAGCUGGGUUAAGGUUAGGGUAUAGGCGGCAGGCCUCUAGGGGCCAUUAGAUGCUUGCUAGCUGGGUUAAGGUUAGGGUAUAGGCGGCAGGCCUCUAGGGGCCAUUAGAUGCUUGCUAGCUGGGUUAAGGUUAGGCUAUA